This is a non-coding RNA of Phascolarctos cinereus (koala), 581 nucleotides long. NCBI's taxonomy places the organism in Eukaryota, Metazoa, Chordata, Mammalia, Diprotodontia, Phascolarctidae. The record is from RefSeq and is a predicted model, not a curated record.
AGAGAAAAAAAAAUCACAGAGAGGGCUUUUCUGAAUACUAAAGAGGCUUUAGUCAAACGGUGUCAAGGAGGUUCUCAUGAAAAGGUCAGGGGUCUCAAAAACUGCUGCUCGUCACUUUUGUCAGCUCUUCCCACAAACCAGCUUCCCUGUGCCUCAGCCAGAGUGGAUGACUUCAAAAUUUAAAAAGCUGGUCUCCUAGAAAAAGGGGAAAGUGCCAUCUGCUGGAGAAGAGAUGAAAUUCAGAGAAUGCUGAGAACUCAGGUAGCAGUAAGUUGAUGCAUCAUCUCCUGGAACGAAGUCUAACUGCAGAGAUCUGCAAGCGAGUUCUCUCAACUGUUGAUGCUAACUUGAAGCUAAAAAGUGAGUGAUGUCUAGAAGGAUAAAUACAUUAUUGUUGUCAGAAAAAUGCAGGUGGAAUGACUAUUUGUUUCCCCAGCCAUAAAAUGAGGAAGAUUGAGUAGAUGGCCUAUGAGAUCCUUUUCAGCACCAGAUCUAUAAUCUCUAAAGCCAGAUCUUAAGUUUAUGAAGCUGUUCAUCUAACAAGUCAUUACUGUGUUCUGUGCUGGUGAAUAAAGAUAAAA